Long non-coding RNA from Gadus chalcogrammus (walleye pollock), 1933 nucleotides. RefSeq lists it as uncharacterized. The transcript has 4 exons. Lineage: Eukaryota; Metazoa; Chordata; Actinopteri; Gadiformes; Gadidae. The record is from RefSeq and is a predicted model, not a curated record.
CUCAUGGUGUACCCCUCCGAUUUAAAUACCCCAGUGGUAUUACCAGAACAAGACGAUUUGUUCUAUCUGAAUCCGUUCAGGUUGGUCAUUUGUCCACUAUUUAUCAUUGUUACAUGAUAAAAUACAGGCUGUGAAUACUAUGCAGUGUUUCCAGUUUUGAAAAUGAGUGUUAAAUGCAAAGAUUUUCUUCAUGUAUCAUUUUGUAGAUAUUAUUUGACUUUGUGGGAGAAGAAGAAGAUGCCACAUAAUAUUUUCAUAUUCAAGAUGCGAUGUCGGGGACAACUCUCAACAGCAACAUGUCUGGAUCACUUCUGGAGAACAACAUCAGUGGGUCAAAAACACUUUAUGUCCACUGGAUUCAAACUGAUGAUCCUGAGUUUGUCCCAGCACUUGAUUCCACCAAUCAAGUUGAAUCUCCCAAUUUCAACAACCAGUUCACUUGGUCCCCUUUGCCAUCACCCAUGUCUUCACCUGGGCAUGACGGGUCUUUCUCUCCUGAAGGGACUGACCUUAGAACCAUUUUGAACCGACUUGGGGAGAAGAUUGAUCACACUUCAUGCCCCACCAGCAAUCAGAUCAACAUAUGCAGAGACUACACUGGCAAUGUCCACAACAUACUGAGGAGUUCCCUUCAGGCCUUCAGACGGCGGCAUUUCAAUCCAGAGGCCAGAUUGGACAUGGUUUUUGUUGACAGUGAACAAACAUCUGAAGGUGCAGUAGAUGGUGGUGGACCCACUCGAGAGUAUUUAAGGUUGCUAAUGAAGGCCAUUCAUCAGUCCAGCAUAUUUGAAGGACCUGAGACAGACAAAAGAUUGACCCUCGACACUUUUCUACAUAUAUUCCCUUUAUGUGUUGAAAUGGGAUGAUUCUGAAGUUUUUGAACACUUUUAAGUUCCGUUGCAGGUGGGGAAAACCCAGCAUUUAAUUCUGUGUGAACAUCCCACUCAUCCUUUUAAAUUAGGGUGUUUCAGGACAUAUACUCAGAAGGUGGUUUUGUUCUGGCAAAUUGUGACGAAAUGUCCUCAACACAUCCUCAUACAUAGGAGUGGCAUCUCUACGGGGAUUAAUACUGGAGUUUCUUACCUGACAACAGAAUUUAAAACGCCUAUCGUAUGAAUGGUGAAACAUUCAGCAUUGGACAUUCUAUCAUAGUAAUUCAAUAUAUUGUGUUUACAGCCUUGGAAGGAAAACUGUAUACACAGAUAGCAUGGAUGAUAUCCGUGUGUGUAAUUCAUGGAAGUGUGGCACCAAAUUUCUUCUCAGAGAGGUUGUUUAGUCAGCUUUGUGAUAAACGUACUCACCCUGCAACAUUGGAGGAAGUGAGUGAUGUCACGUUCAAGGAGAAGCUUUUGAAGAUUAAAGAAGCAACAACUGUUGGAGAUGCAAAAGCUGCAAUAGAGGAGGCAGAGGAAAGUCUUGCUAUUGUUGGGGCUUGCAGACGCAUCACAACACUGAAGCAGAGGGAUGCCCUGGUGCAAUCUGCUGUUGACUUCUUUGUUGAGGGCAGAUUAAAUGUUGCAUUACAAGAGUAAGUAUAAGUUUAAGCACACAUUAAUGGACAAGGGCCCAAAGCACGAUGGUAUCUGCUAUUGGCAAGCGUUGCCAUGUCAGUCAAUAACAGAUUUGGUUAGGGAUUUUUCUACACUCUAAAAUGAGAAACGCUUACUUUCGCACCGAUAACACAGGCCAAGUCCACUGCCGCUGCCACCAUGCUGCCACUGUGGUAGAAAUUACUGAUUAUAUUCUAUGGUCAACUGUGAUUAUUAUGAGGUCUUUUCAGGGGCGGAUCUACUGGGGUGGCAUGGGGUGGCAACUGCCACCCUAAAAAAAGCCUUGCCACCCCAGCUGCCACCCCAGUUGGCAGCGCAAAAUUCAUUUUUUUUUUUUUUUUUUUGCUUUUACAAGACAUUUACAAAAUGUCGAAUUUCAAAAG